This 1952-nucleotide long non-coding RNA is filed under the name Bemisia tabaci. RNAcentral's name for it is "lncRNA ENSSWEETPG005873". The record is from RNAcentral. Lineage: Eukaryota; Metazoa; Arthropoda; Insecta; Hemiptera; Aleyrodidae.
UCAAAGAAAGCAGCUCCUGCUGCAAAGAAGGCUGCUCCUGUAGCAAAGAAAGCAGCUCCUGCAGCAAAGAAAGCGGCUCCUGUUGCAAAGAAAGCUGCUCCUGCAGCAAAGAAAGCGGCUCCUGCUGCCAAGAAAGCUGUUGUUAGCGAAGUAGAAAGAAAGCUGCGCCGCACCGAAGAAAAGCUGCGCCUGCAGUGAAGAAAGCUGCGCCUGCCAACGAAGAAAGCUGCGCCUGCAGCGAAGAAAGUGGCUCCGGCAGCAAAGAAAGCUGCUACUGCUGCGAAGAAAGCUGCUCCAGCAGCAAAAGAAAAGUGUUCCAGUAGAGACUAAGCUACGAGAAGUAAAAUUGUGACUGAAGUUGCAGCCAAAAAACCUGCACCAGUUAAAGCAAAAAGCCAAACCGGAACCACCGAAGAAGAAGGUGCCUGUUGCUGUAGUCAAACCAAUCAAAGCGAAGCCAGAAGCCGUAUCAAGUUCCAAGAAACCAGCUGCAAAGGCAGCCGCUAAAUUGAAGCCCGCGAAAGCUGUAGAAGCUCCUGCUCCUGCCCCAAGGGUUGUAAGGAAACCUACACUAAAAGCAACAUUAGUUGUGUACGUAUUUAUUCCUGGAAUCAAAUCUCUUUCUUUGUUGCCCGGACAUAUUUUUCAAGUCUAUUCGUACAUGUUCCUGCCAGACAUAGCUGCUGUGCUGAGGGAAAACGCCGUAUGAGCCUUCAGACGUUGCCAUUUUCCAUUUAAUAAAAAAUGAAUUCACUCGGAAAAUUUUUGAUAUUUUUCUUCAAAUUUUUCAGACUAUUUUGCUUGCACCUUAAUCUGAAAUAUUUGAAAAUUUGAAAGGAAAAAUAUGCAUAACUUCCUAGAAAUUCAUAUUUAUGGGGGAAAUUUGCCAACUCUCGAAUGUUCAUACAGUUUUUUUCCUUAGCACGGCAGAAGAAAGCAUGCUACAGCAUGCCUUCUUCCUUUGCUGCAUUACAAUGCAGCAAAAUGUAAAGGCUGUAAACUGCUAUCAGCUGUGAUCUUUGUGACGCUAGUGCUACCCCUCGGAUGCGACCAUGACUAGAGUUUCUGAAUUAGUCAUGUGGUGAGCCUCUAUUUGGCGGUUUAUAGCUUUUUAACAUGAUGAACGCCUACUGCAAAAGUGAUAGGCUACGGUGACCGUUUUGGUGUCCAUGACUGACGCUUAAAAUGGUCGAUAUGACUGGCUUCUCCUUCGACAUGGCAAGGUUUUUUAGAAGUUCACGAACGUAUCUCAUGGAUUUUUAGAGAUGUUCUGCCCUUUAUCCCAGAGGCACUCGUUGCAAAGAGGACAUUAUUUCAGCCUGUUCAUAAGAUUUAAUCAUCCAAAGCUAAUUCCGUAUAAUGCACAGCUGACCACUGCUGGAACACAGUUACUUCAAUUGGACUGCACUUUGCAAUGAGAAACAACAAUUUCUGGCUCAUCUGUAAAAACAUUUAUGUGCAUAGGGGAAUUAAGGGCACAUAUGUUGUUUCCCAAAUGAGCCAGAUAUUUUAGUUCCUAAUUGCAAAAUGUGGUUAAACUGGACCAAGUUUAAUAGUAAGGCACCAAGUUGCAUCGAGUUUGAACCAAGAAAUAGAAGUUCAAAGUUUUACUCCUCCAUGAAAAUCAAGGUCUAGGGCUGAGGUUAGGAAAUAUUUUUCAGGUUCAAAAUUUUUUUCCUCGACUUUGAAUUUUUGAAAGGUAAGAACUUAUGAUCAGUUGAAUUUAAAACUACUCUGGUUCAGUUUUCUCUCCUGAAUGCAUCUAGUGCAUUUUGUCCUUCUCACACCAAGGAACGUACCUCGUCUGCGCUGUUCAGUAUGUGUACAAACAUUUUAUUUUUUUAUUGGAGAACCAUGGCACAAAAUUUUCUGAAAUUUUAGUGUAUUCCUUUGCAAGUGUAAAGAAAAUAUUACCGAAAAUUUCAGGCAAUUCAUGGGAUAAUACUCCUAAA